RNAcentral lists this ribosomal RNA (499 nucleotides) under uncultured Glomeromycotina. Its description in RNAcentral is "partial small subunit ribosomal RNA". It matches the Rfam family "Eukaryotic small subunit ribosomal RNA", at positions 591 to 1092 of the family's 1831-position model. The record is from RNAcentral. Lineage: Eukaryota; Fungi; Glomeromycota.
CCAAUAGCGUAUAUUAAAGUUGCUGCAGUUAAAAAGCUCGUAGUUGAAUUUCGGGACCAUCAUGUCGGUCGUGCCUCGGUACGUACUGGUAUUGUUGGUUUCUCCCUUCUGAUGAACCAUGAUGUCAUUUAUUUGGUGUUGUGGGGAAUCAGGACUGUUACUUUGAAAAAAUUAGAGUGUUUAAAGCAGGCUCACGCUUGAAUACAUUAGCAUGGAAUAAUGAAAUAGGACGUUUGAUUCUAUUUUGUUGGUUUCUAGGAUCGACGUAAUGAUUAAUAGGGAUAGUUGGGGGCAUUAGUAUUCAAUUGUCAGAGGUGAAAUUCUUGGAUUUAUUGAAGACUAACUACUGCGAAAGCAUUUGCCAAGGAUGUUUUCAUUAAUCAAGAACGAAAGUUAGGGGAUCGAAGACGAUCAGAUACCGUCGUAGUCUUAACCAUAAACUAUGCCGACUAGGGAUCGGAUGAUGUUAAUUUUUUAAUGACUCAUUCGGCGCCUUACG